RNAcentral lists this ribosomal RNA (795 nucleotides) under uncultured bacterium. RNAcentral's name for it is "bacterial SSU rRNA". It matches the Rfam family "Bacterial small subunit ribosomal RNA", at positions 8 to 795 of the family's 1533-position model. The record is from RNAcentral.
AGAGUUUGAUCCUGGCUCAGAACAAACGCUGGCGGCGUGUCUUAAGCAUGCAAGUCGAGCGGCAAGGGCAGCAAUGCCCCUAGAGCGGCGGACUGGUGAGUAACGCGUGGGUGAUCUACCUUGGGCAUGGGGAUAGCCAUUAGAAAUAGUGGGUAAUACCGAAUACGUUCGUUACCGUGAGGGUAACGAGGAAAGGCGCUACGGCGCCGGCCUGGAGAUGAGCUUGCGUCUGAUUAGCUAGUUGGUGAGGUAAUGGCUCACCAAGGCGAUGAUCGGUAGCCGGCCUGAGAGGGUGUACGGCCACACUGGGACUGAGAUACGGCCCAGACUCCUACGGGAGGCAGCAGCUAAGAAUAUUCCGCAAUGGACGAAAGUCUGACGGAGCGACGCCGCGUGGAUGAUGAAGGCCGAAAGGUUGUAAAGUCCUUUUGCUGGGGAAGAAUAAGCGUGGGAGGGAAUGCCCGCGUGAUGACAUGAACCGGCGAAUAAGCCCCGGCUAACUACGUGCCAGCAGCCGCGGUAACACGUAGGGGGCGAGCGUUGUCCGGAAUUACUGGGCGUAAAGGGCGCGUAGGCGGUUUCUUAAGUCAGAGGUGAAAACUACCGGCUCAACCGGUAGCCUGCCUUUGAAACUGGGAGACUUGAGGGCAGGAGAGGGGAGUGGAAUUCCCAGUGUAGCGGUGAAAUGCGUUGAUAUUGUCAAGAACACCAAGGGCGAANGCAGGUACCUGGGACCGCACUGACGCUGAGGAACGAAAGCUAGGGGAGCGAAAGGGAUUAGAUACCCUGNUAGUC